AGAGUUUGAUCAUGGCUCAGGACGAACGCUGGCGGCGUGCUUAACACAUGCAAGUGGAGCGACGAACCGGACUUCGGUCCGGGGCAAAGCCGCGAACGGGUGAGUAACACGUGGGUAACCUGCCCCGAUGAUUGGGACAACCUCGGGAAACCGAGGCUAAUACCAAAUGUGCUCACGUCUCAUGAGGGACGUGAGGAAAGGAAGCUUCGGCCUCCGCAUCGGGAUGGGCCCGCGGCGCAUUAGCUUGUUGGUGAGGUAACGGCUCACCAAGGCUUCGAUGCGUAGCUGGUCUGAGAGGACGAUCAGCCACACUGGGACUGAGACACGGCCCAGACUCCUACGGGAGGCAGCAGUGGGGAAUCUUGCGCAAUGCGCGAAAGCGUGACGCAGCAACGCCGCGUGCGGGAAGACGGCCUUCGGGUUGUAAACCGCUUUCAGUUGGGACGAAGCUUCGCCGGUGAAUAGCCGGCCGGAGUGACGGUACCUUCAGAAGAAGCCCCGGCUAACUACGUGCCAGCAGCCGCGGUAAUACGUAGGGGGCUAGCGUUGUCCGGAAUCAUUGGGCGUAAAGCGCGUGUAGGCGGCCCGAUAAGUCCGCUGUGAAAGUCCAGGGCUCAACCCUGGGAUGCCGGUGGAUACUGUCGGGCUCGAGUCCGGAAGAGGCGAGUGGAAUUCCUGGUGUAGCGGUGAAAUGCGCAGAUAUCAGGAGGAACACCAAUGGCGAAGGCAGCUCGCUGGGACGUGACUGACGCUGAGACGCGAAAGCGUGGGGAGCAAACAGGAUUAGAUACCCUAGUAGUCC
RNAcentral lists this ribosomal RNA (802 nucleotides) under uncultured bacterium. Its description in RNAcentral is "bacterial SSU rRNA". It matches the Rfam family "Bacterial small subunit ribosomal RNA", at positions 8 to 796 of the family's 1533-position model. The record is from RNAcentral.